RNAcentral lists this ribosomal RNA (495 nucleotides) under uncultured bacterium. RNAcentral describes it as "partial 16S ribosomal RNA". It matches the Rfam family "Bacterial small subunit ribosomal RNA", at positions 28 to 507 of the family's 1533-position model. The record is from RNAcentral.
GACGAACGCUGGCGGCGUGCCUAAUACAUGCAAGUCGAACGCUGAAGGAGGAGCUUGCUUCUCUGGAUGAGUUGCGAACGGGUGAGUAACGCGUAGGUAACCUGCCUGGUAGCGGGGGAUAACUAUUGGAAACGAUAGCUAAUACCGCAUAAUAGUAGAUGUCGCAUGACAUUUGCUUAAAAGGUGCAAUUGCAUCACUACCAGAUGGACCUGCGUUGUAUUAGCUAGUUGGUGAGGUAACGGCUCACCAAGGCAACGAUACAUAGCCGACCUGAGAGGGUGAUCGGCCAAACUGGGACUGAGACACGGCCCAGACUCCUACGGGAGGCAGCAGUAGGGAAUCUUCGGCAAUGGACGGAAGUCUGACCGAGCAACGCCGCGUGAGUGAAGAAGGGUUUCGGAUCGUAAAGCUCUGUUGUAAGAGAAGAACGAGUGUGAGAGUGGAAAGUUCACACUGUGACGGUAUCUUACCAGAAAGGGACGGCUAACUACGUG